Pan troglodytes (chimpanzee) is the source of this 91-nucleotide microRNA precursor. It matches the Rfam family "mir-544 microRNA precursor family". The record is from Rfam. NCBI's taxonomy places the organism in Eukaryota, Metazoa, Chordata, Mammalia, Primates, Hominidae.
AUCACUAAGGUAUCAUGUUAAAAUGUAGAUUUUGAUUCAAUAGUUGGAGUCUGAGAUUCUACAUUUUUAACAAGUACUCACAUGAUAGUAA